This 140-nucleotide transfer RNA is filed under the name Treponema sp. RNAcentral describes it as "tRNA-OTHER". It matches the Rfam family "tRNA". Rfam says of the family: Transfer RNA (tRNA) molecules are approximately 80 nucleotides in length. Their secondary structure includes four short double-helical elements and three loops (D, anti-codon, and T loops). The record is from RNAcentral. Lineage: Bacteria; Pseudomonadati; Spirochaetota; Spirochaetia; Treponematales; Treponemataceae.
GGAGCAGUAGUUCAGAGGUAGAACAGGGAUAAAGCUCUAUCCCGAUUUUUACAACCUUGUUUUAGUUGAUUUUGCAAGCUUGUGAAAUCAGCAGCGUUUGAACUCCGCGCUGCGCACCGGUUCGAUUCCGGUCUGCUCCA